AUUUAAGUAGUUUAUAUAAAAUAUAAAGUUGUGGUCUUUCUGAAGUAAUUUACCUUAAAUC
RNAcentral lists this transfer RNA (61 nucleotides) under Taharana fasciana. RNAcentral describes it as "tRNA-His". The record is from RNAcentral. Lineage: Eukaryota; Metazoa; Arthropoda; Insecta; Hemiptera; Cicadellidae.